Molecule: ribosomal RNA, 253 nt
Filed under: uncultured bacterium
Lineage: Bacteria
Description: partial 16S ribosomal RNA
Rfam family: Bacterial small subunit ribosomal RNA
Source: RNAcentral
UACGUAGGGGGCAAGCGUUGUCCGGAAUCAUUGGGCGUAAAGCGCGUGUAGGCGGCCAGAUAAGUCCGCUGUGAAAUCUCGAGGCUCAACUUCGAGCUGUCGGUGGAAACUGUCUGGCUAGAGUCCGGAAGAGGAGAAUGGAAUUCCUGGUGUAGCGGUGAAAUGCGCAGAUAUCAGGAAGAACACCAGUGGCGAAGGCGGCUUACUGGUCCGGUUCUGACGCUGAGGCGCGAAAGCGUGGGGAGCAAACAGG